Molecule: long non-coding RNA, 677 nt
Filed under: Mytilus galloprovincialis (Mediterranean mussel)
Lineage: Eukaryota; Metazoa; Mollusca; Bivalvia; Mytilida; Mytilidae
Source: RNAcentral
GUCAUCUGUUAAAGUCAUGCCGAUUAUAAGAUACACAGUUUUUCUCUGCUUUCAAGUCUUUCUGUUUGAACCCGUCGAACUGGAACUUAUCAAUUAUUGGUAAUAUUAAUUAUUUGGAAAACAAAAGGUCCUGGAAUGGAGUAUUUUUUAAUCAACAGCAUUGUCCUAUAUAAGUUAUAAGUAAAGUUGAAUUCUUUGCCUCGCUGUUUUACGUCAUGCCCACUAACAAAUUGAAAACUGUACCUAUACGCCUUAUUUUUAGUCCAGAUUUUUAGUAUUCGUAUUGUUAUCUUAGAAAGUCUAACUGAUUAAAUACUACAAUAGGUAACAAUUUGACAAUUUAGUAGUAUCAACCCUGUGGUUAUGACCCGUGUAUAUAGCAUAUUAAUCCUGAAUACAACGUUUGGUGGUGCGCCUGUCAGAUGCGGAACGUACAGAUAAGGUAAUAGGUAACAGGUGAAUAUACUAUUGGUAUCGGUAGCGGACUCGACCCGGAACUUCUUCAUUAUUGGCAAUAUUAAUUACUUGGAAAACAAAAGGGCCUGGAGUGGUGUAAUUUUUAAUCUACACCUUUGUACUAUAUUAGUUAUAUAUAAAGUUGAAUUCUGUGAUUCGUCGUUUUUACGUGAUGACGGCUGACAAAUUGGACCUCGUAAUUUUAGUAUUAUAGAUAUAUU